GUGCCAGCAGCCGCGGUAAUACGUAGGGCGCAAGCGUUGUCCGGAAUUAUUGGGCGUAAAGAGCUCGUAGGCGGUUUGUCGCGUCUGCUGUGAAAACGCAAGGCUUAACCUUGCGCCUGCAGUGGGUACGGGCAGACUAGAGUGCGGUAGGGGAGACUGGAAUUCCUGGUGUAGCGGUGGAAUGCGCAGAUAUCAGGAGGAACACCGAUGGCGAAGGCAGGUCUCUGGGCCGUUACUGACGCUGAGGAGCGAAAGCAUGGGGAGCGA
Molecule: ribosomal RNA, 267 nt
Filed under: uncultured Actinomycetales bacterium
Lineage: Bacteria; Bacillati; Actinomycetota; Actinomycetes; Actinomycetales
Description: partial 16S ribosomal RNA
Rfam family: Bacterial small subunit ribosomal RNA
Source: RNAcentral